Molecule: ribosomal RNA, 508 nt
Filed under: uncultured bacterium
Lineage: Bacteria
Description: partial 16S ribosomal RNA
Source: RNAcentral
GGAGUUAGCCGGUGCUUCUUCUGUGAGUGAUGUCCUUCCUGCCGGCUAUUAACCCGCAGGCCUUCUUCCUCACUGAAAGUGCUUUACAACCCGAAGGCCUUCUUCACACACGCGGCAUGGCUGGAUCAGGGUUGCCCCCAUUGUCCAAUAUUCCCCACUGCUGCCUCCCGUAGGAGUCUGGGCCGUGUCUCAGUCCCAGUGUGGCUGAUCAUCCUCUCAGACCAGCUACGGAUCGUCGCCUUGGUGAGCCGUUACCUCACCAACCAGCUAAUCCGACAUAGGCUCAUCCGAUAGCGCGAGGCCCGAAGGUCCCCCGCUUUCCCCCGUAGGGCGUAUGCGGUAUUAGCCUGGGUUUCCCCAGGUUAUCCCCCACUACCGGGCAGAUUCCUAUGCAUUACUCACCCGUCCGCCGCUCGCCACCAGGGAGCAAGCUCCCCGUGCUGCCGCUCGACUUGCAUGUGUUAGGCCUGCCGCCAGCGUUCAAUCUGAGCCAUAGUCAACUACUCGA